GACGAACGCUGGCGGCGUGCUUAACACAUGCAAGUCGAGCGGAAAGGCCACUUCGGUGGUACUCGAGCGGCGAACGGGUGAGUAACACGUGAGUAAUCUGCCCCUGGCUUUGGGCUAGCCACCGGAAACGGUGAUUAAUACCGGAUACGACCACUUCUCGCAUGGGAUGGUGGUGGAAAGUUUUUUCGGCCAGGGAUGUGCUCGCGGCCUAUCAGCUUGAUGGUGAGGUAAUGGCUCACCGUGGCUUCGACGGGUAGCCGGCCUGAGAGGGUGACCGGUCACACUGGGACUGAGACACGGCCCAGACUCCUACGGGAGGCAGCAGUGGGGAAUAUUGGACAAUGGGCGGAAGCCUGAUCCAGCAACGCCGCGUGAGGGAUGACGGCCUUCGGGUUGUAAACCUCUUUCAGCAGGGACGAAGCGCAAGUGACGGUACCUGCAGAAGAAGCACCGGCCAACUACGUGCCAGCCGCCGCGGUAA
RNAcentral lists this ribosomal RNA (481 nucleotides) under uncultured bacterium. RNAcentral describes it as "partial 16S ribosomal RNA". It matches the Rfam family "Bacterial small subunit ribosomal RNA", at positions 28 to 523 of the family's 1533-position model. The record is from RNAcentral.